UUAAGCUAUAAAGAGCAUAGGGUGGAUGCCUAGGCACUGAGAGCCGAUGAAAGACGUGAUAAGCUGCGAUAAGCUGCGGUAAGGAGCAAAUAUCCAUUGACCCGCAGAUUUCUGAAUGGGGAAACCUACGCAAGAAGACCUUGCGUACUCAUACAUGAAUACAUAGUGUAUGAGAGGGAACCCGGGGAACUGAAACAUCUAAGUACCCGGAGGAAGAGAAAGAAACAUCGAUUUCCUGAGUAGCGGCGAGCGAAAGGGAAAGAGCCCAAACCAGAGGAUUUAUCCUUUGGGGUUAGGACUGCAUAAUUGAUCUGCGAUUGAUAGGAGAACGGUCUGGGAAGUCCGGCGAGAAAGCGUGAAAGCCGCGUAUCCGAAAUCGAAAGCAGCAAGGCAGUAUCCAGAGUACCACGAGACACGAGAAACCUUGUGGGAAUGAGCGGAGACCACUCCGUAAGGCUAAAUACUACUCAGUGACCGAUAGCGCAUAGUACUGUGAAGGAAAGGUGAAAAGGACCCCGGGAGGGGAGUGAAAGAGAACCUGAAACCCUGUGUUUACAAGCUGUCGAAGCACAUAAGUGCGACGGCGUACUUUUUGUAGAACGGUCCGGCGAGUUAUGAUGAGUGGUAAGGUUAAGGACUUAAGGUCCGGAGCCGAAGCGAAAGCGAGUGUUAAAAGCACGUAGAAUCGCUUAUCAUAGACCCGAAACCGGGUGAUCUAUCCAUGUCCAGGUUGAAGCUGCCGUAAGAGGUAGUGGAGGACCGAACACACAUCCGUUGAAAAGGGUGGUGAUGAGGUGUGGAUAGGGGAGAAAUUCCAAUCGAACCCGGAGAUAGCUGGUUCUCCUCGAAAUAGCUUUAGGGCUAGCCUCUGGUUAGUCUGCCGCAGGUAGAGCACUGAAUUUCCUAGGGGGCGUCAAAGCCUACCGAAGAAUAUCAAACUGCGAAUGGCGGACAGAUGAUGCCAGGGAGUCAGACUGCACGAGAUAAGUUGGGUGGUCAAAAGGGAAAGAGCCCAGACCUACAGCUAAGGUCCCAAAGUGUGUGUUAAGUGGAAAAGGAUGUGGGAUUUCGAAGACAACUAGGAUGUUGGCUCAGAAGCAGCCACACAUUAAAAGAGUGCGUAAUAGCUCACUAGUCGAGAGGUCCUGCGCCGAAAAUGUCCGGGGCUAAAACACAACACCGAAGCUUAGGAAUUCUUUUGAAUUGGUAGAGGAGCAUUGAAGACGGAACGAAGCCAUACCGGAAGGAGUGGUGGACUGUCUUGAAGAGAGAAUGCCGGAAUGAGUAGCGAGAUUGAAGUGAGAAUCUUCAAGGCCGAAUAUCUAAGGUUUCCAGGGUAAAGCUGAUCUGCCCUGGGUAAGUCGGGGCCUAAGGCAAGGUCGAAAGACGUAGUCGAUGGAUAACAGGUUGAAAUUCCUGUACUGCAUCAAAUCAGAAAUGUGGGGACACAUGAGGGAAGCAUGAGCCGGAAAAGGAAAGUCCGGUACAAGCGCAGCAGAGGACAGAUAGGCAAAACCGUCUGUCAACUCAAGGGCGUGAUGUGGAGCGAACCAAAGUAGCGAAGCAUGUGGAGCUUGUGUCGAGAAAAGCCGCUAUAGUGUUUGAUGUACCCGUACCGUAAACCGACACAGGUGGAUGAGGAGAGAAUCCUAAGGCCGGCGGGAGAAGCAUUGUUAAGGAACUCGGCAAAAUGACCCCGUAACUUCGGGAGAAGGGGUGCUCCAGAGAUGGAGCCGCAGAGAACUGGCCCAAGCAACUGUUUAGCAAAAACACAGGUCUAUGCAAAACCGAAAGGUGAGGUAUAUGGGCUGACGCCUGCCCGGUGCUGGAAGGUUAAGAGGAGAUGUUAAUCGCAAGGUGAAGCAUUGAAUUUAAGCCCCAGUAAACGGCGGCCGUAACUAUAACGGUCCUAAGGUAGCGAAAUUCCUUGUCGGGUAAGUUC
RNAcentral lists this ribosomal RNA (1942 nucleotides) under human gut metagenome. Its description in RNAcentral is "bacterial LSU rRNA". It matches the Rfam family "Bacterial large subunit ribosomal RNA", at positions 3 to 1983 of the family's 2925-position model. The record is from RNAcentral.